UUGACCUAUUCUCUCACGCUCUGAACGUCGCCAAGCUAAAGUUGUCUCCCCUUUCACCAUAUCACCACCGUCGACUGGUAUCUGCACCCUCCGGCGAACAGUACCCUCCGGCGAACUGCACCCUCAAGUUCACCACCGUCCGGUUCAGUCCUCAAGUUCACCACCCUUCGCCCAGAUUGAUUUUGGAUUAUUUAUUUCCAGAUUGUGUUAUGAAAUUAUCUAUUUCCAGAUUGUAGAUAUUGAUGCUGAUACGCCCAGUCCUCUUCGCCCAGUUUUCCAGUCCUCUUCGCCCAGUUAUGCAAUUGCUCUCUUUGUGGUCCAUGGAAUUGAACGUGGAGCAGCAGUAACUAUUGAUGAAGUGCUGUAUGAGGGUGUUGGAACACUAAAAGAUAGAUUACCAAUAUUGCUGGUUUUGAAUAAGAAGGACCUGAUCAAACCCGGUGAAAUUGCAAAGAAACUUGAGGAAAAAUUACUAUAAGGAGGGUGAGUAUAUUUACCCCAAAUUUGAUGCAGUUGAAGCUUAUAGAAGAGCCUUGAAGACCUGGGCAAGUUGGAUCGAUGAACAUCUGAAACAGAAAAAGUUGGUUUUCUAUCGAGGGUACUCAUAUGCUCAUUUCAGGAACCCGAACUUGUUUAAGUUGCAGAGGAUAAUUAUUAUUCAUCAUCAAAAGAGAAGAGAAGAAGAAAGAACUCAAAUGCAGGUUCAAAUGCAAGCUCAAAUUGCAAGUUUGAUGGAUGAGUUGCGUCGCCCAAUGGCAUGUUAUCCAAUCCAAGUACUCAAGCUCAACAUUCGGCUAAUUCAAAUGAUGAAACCUUAGGAGAUGAUUUGAUUAAGUUUAUUAAUAUAUUUGGUACUGGUUCUAAUGAUGUAACAUUAUACUACAACACUUUUGUUGUUGCUAUUCACUUUGA
Molecule: long non-coding RNA, 912 nt
Organism: Ipomoea nil (Japanese morning glory)
Lineage: Eukaryota; Viridiplantae; Streptophyta; Magnoliopsida; Solanales; Convolvulaceae
Exons: 4
Source: RefSeq, a predicted model, not a curated record